Molecule: ribosomal RNA, 253 nt
Filed under: uncultured bacterium
Lineage: Bacteria
Description: partial 16S ribosomal RNA
Rfam family: Bacterial small subunit ribosomal RNA
Source: RNAcentral
UACGUAGGUGGCAAGCGAUACUCGGAAUCACUAGGCGUAAAGCGCAGGUAGGCGGUUUGGUAAGUCUUUUGUGAAAGCUCCCGGCUUAACUGGGAGAGGUCAAGGGAAACUACCGGACUAGAGUGUGGUAGGGGAUACUGGAAUUCCUGGUGUAGCGGUGAAAUGCGUAGAUAUCAGGAGGAAUACCUAUGGCGAAAGCAGGUAUCUGGGCCAUCACUGACGCUGAGCUGCGAAAGCCAGGGGAGCGAACGGG